UAUUAAUGUGCUUGCAUAAGCAGCAAUAAAUGUACAACAUAUGUGACUGGUCUGAGUUGCAUCACACAGUUUGGAUUUGGAACUGAAGGACAAUUAUGGUCAAAAAUGGCAGUACAGAUCAAGUAAACAUAACCAGACAACAGAAGACAUAUUUCAAUUUACAUAUUAAGGAUAUUACUGUGAAAAAAAAGCAGGAACAACGCAUAUAUACCAAACUUCAAGACGAUAAAGGUAACUAAAUUUCCAAAGACAGAUGAAGAAA
Molecule: long non-coding RNA, 262 nt
Organism: Cryptotermes secundus
Lineage: Eukaryota; Metazoa; Arthropoda; Insecta; Blattodea; Kalotermitidae
Exons: 2
Source: RefSeq, a predicted model, not a curated record